UGAAUACGAGACGCUAAGGCGUCGAGGUAGUGUAUAUCAGACUUCCAAGAAAAGCUUGCACUGUCAUAGAUAAAAAAUGCCUGUACCAUAACCGACACAGGUGGGUAGGUAGAGUAUACUAAGGGGCGCGAGAUAACUCUCUCUAAGGAACUCGGCAAAAUAACUCCGUAACUUCGGGAGAAGGAGUGCCUUAUUUAUAAGGUUGCAAUAACAAGAUCCAAGCAACUGUUUAUCAAAAACACAGGUCUCCGCUAAGUCGUAAGACGAUGUAUGGGGGCUGACGCCUGCCCAGUGCCAGAAGGUUAAAGAAGUUGGUUAGCAAUUGCGAAGCUGAUAACUGAAGCCCUGGUGAACGGCGGCCGUAACAAUAACGGUCCUAAGGUAGCGAAAUUCCUUGUCGGGUAAGUUCCGACCCGCACGAAAGGCGUAAUGAUUUGGAUACUGUCUCGGAGAGGGGCUCGGUGAAAUAGACUUGUCUGUGAAGAUGCGGACUACCUGCACCAGGACAGAAAGACCCUAUGAAGCUUUACUGUAACUUGAAAUUGAAAUUGGACUUUAUUCGCGCAGCAUAGGUGGGAGGCGUUGAUUAUAAUCUUGCGGGAUUAUUGGAGCCAUCAGUGAGAUACCACUCUUGUAAUGUUAGAUUUCUAACUUUGAAUCAUUAUCUGGUCAAAGAACAGUUUCAGGCGGGCAGUUUGACUGGGGCGGUCGCCUCCUAAAUGGUAACGGAGGCGUACAAAGGUUUCCUCUGAACGGUUAGAAAUCGUAUCUAGAGUGUAAAGGCAUAAGGAAGCUUGACUGUGAGACCUACAAGUCGAGCAGGGACGAAAGUCGGUCUUAGUGAUCUGACGGUACUGAGUGGAAAGGCCGUCACUCAACGGAUAAAAGUUACUCUAGGAUAACAGGCUGAUCUCCCCCAAGAGUUCACAUCGACGGGGAGGUUUGGCACCUCGAUGUCGGCUCAUCGCAUCCUGGGGCGGUAGUACGUCCCAAGGGUUGGGCUGUUCGCCCAUGAAAGCGGUACGCGAGCUGGGUUCAGAACGUCGUGAGACAGUUCGGUCCAUAUCCGGUGUAGGCGUUAGAAUAUUGAGAGGAGCCUUCUUUAGUACGAGAGGACCGAGAAGGACAUACCUCUGGUGUACCAGUUAUCGUGCCAACGGUAAACGCUGGGUAGCUAUGUAUGGAGUGGAUAACCGCUGAAAGCAUCUAAGUGGGAAGCCCACCUCAAGAUAAG
RNAcentral lists this ribosomal RNA (1234 nucleotides) under metagenome. RNAcentral describes it as "bacterial LSU rRNA". It matches the Rfam family "Bacterial large subunit ribosomal RNA", at positions 1564 to 2808 of the family's 2925-position model. The record is from RNAcentral.